RNAcentral lists this ribosomal RNA (253 nucleotides) under uncultured bacterium. Its description in RNAcentral is "partial 16S ribosomal RNA". It matches the Rfam family "Bacterial small subunit ribosomal RNA", at positions 524 to 776 of the family's 1533-position model. The record is from RNAcentral.
UACAGGGGGGGCAAGCGUUGUUCGGAAUUACUGGGCGUAAAGGGUUCGUAGGUGGCCACUUAAGUCAGACGUGAAAUCCCUCAGCUUAACUGGGGAACUGCGUCUGAUACUGAGUGGCUUGAGUGCAGGAGAGGAAUGCGGAAUUCCAGGUGUAGCGGUGAAAUGCGUAGAUAUCUGGAGGAACACCGGUGGCGAAGGCGGCAUUCUGGACUGUAACUGACGCUGAGGAGCGAAAGCCAGGGGAGCAAACGGG